UAAGGAAUAUUGGGCAAUGGACGCAAGUCUGACCCAGCCAUGCCGCGUGCAGGAUGACGGACCUACGGUUUGUAAACUGCUUUUGUACGGGAAAAAACCCCAGAUUUCGUAUCUGGGCUGAUGGUACCGUAAGAAUAAGGAUCGGCUAACUCCGUGCCAGCAGCCGCGGUAAUACGGAGGAUCCAAGCGUUAUCCGGAUUCAUUGGGUUUAAAGGGUGCGAAGGCGGACUUAUAAGUCAGUGGUGAAAUCCUACGGCUCAACCGUAGAACUGCCAUUGAUACUGUAAGUCUUGAGUAUACUUGAAGUGGCUGGAAUGUAUCAUGUAGCGGUGAAAUGCUUAGAUAUGAUACAGAACACCGAUUGCGAAGGCAGGUCACUAAGUUAUAACUGACGCUCAUGCACGAAAGCGUGGGGAUCAAACAGG
RNAcentral lists this ribosomal RNA (425 nucleotides) under uncultured bacterium. RNAcentral describes it as "bacterial SSU rRNA". It matches the Rfam family "Bacterial small subunit ribosomal RNA", at positions 355 to 776 of the family's 1533-position model. The record is from RNAcentral.